UUCUUGUAGAGUGGGAGUCCCAAGAUGGGUUUGUGGAAAGGAAAAAGAUUAGGGUAUAUCAUAGGGGUGUGCAGUAGGAAGGGAGGGAAAAAGGAGAGAAAAGCAUGGAAAAGAAGGUCUGUAAAUAAUCAAGAUUGGGAGGAAGAAAAAGAGGGAAAAGAAAAGGUAGUGGAGAUAGAGAGAUUCCCUGAUGGAUGAUGACAUGGGCAGGUAAUUUCAAUAGAAGAAGAGGGAGGGGGAGGGAAUAGAAGCUUUUUGUUUUUUGUCUGUUUGUGCAGAGCAGAUGGGAAGAUAAAAAAAGAUGCAGUCUUUUUUACCAGGCAAAUGGCAUAUUGUACCUUAAUCCUGCAACGGAUGCACAUACUUUCUAAAAGCCAGGAUAUACCAUAAUGCUCAACCAUCCUUUCAUUAAUCCCCAGUUGCUGCAGGAAUCAUAUAAAGGUAGAUGCACCCCUUUGCAUUAUCAACUUAGAGGAAAAAAAUAUACAGGUUAAUUAAGCAGCCUUCUAAAGGGCUUGUGAUCAUAUUGUGGGGGAAUAUGCACAGAAAUUGAUAAAGCCCCUCUUAGCAGCAGCAGCAGCAACAACAAAAAAGAAAAGAACUCUCAACUCUCACCACAGAAUUGCAAUUCAAACCUUCCACAGCCUCUUUCCUGGUAUCAUUUUCAUCACCGUUGACAUUUUUUUUCUCUCUUCUUUUCUUUUCUUUUCUUUUUCUUUUCUUUUUCUUCCUUUAGAUUUUUAGUUUGCAGCAGUAACCAAGUCCCGGACCACCACCACAAAUAGUCACUCACUAAGGCACAUAUUCACAUAACACCAUCAUCUUAGUUUGCCUUUAGAUUUUUUGGAGGGGAAAAAAAAAGACCAGCACUUGCAACCAAAUUUUACUGCUCCUCCAUCUGACUUUCCAAAAGGCUACUCUAUCAAAAUAUUUCCAGUAAUUUCUUAGUACCUCUUAGAAAAGUUGUGAAGAAAAAGAAAUUCUUGGGAUUUGAUCUAGAAUUUCACCCAUGGUGUGGAGGAAAAAAAUGGUAUCUUGCAUCUGUUUUUCCA
Non-coding RNA from Momordica charantia (bitter melon), 1052 nucleotides. The record is from RefSeq and is a predicted model, not a curated record. Lineage: Eukaryota; Viridiplantae; Streptophyta; Magnoliopsida; Cucurbitales; Cucurbitaceae.